RNAcentral lists this long non-coding RNA (1009 nucleotides) under Setaria viridis. Its description in RNAcentral is "long non-coding RNA (SVIR_LNC008117)". Lineage: Eukaryota; Viridiplantae; Streptophyta; Magnoliopsida; Poales; Poaceae. The record is from RNAcentral.
GUCUCUUGUGUUCUAGGAGGAGUCUUGAUCUUUCGAGAGGCUGAUCGAUCCCCCCUCUCCGGCUCUAGGUUCCGCCUUUUAUAUCACAAGGGGCCGGCCGGAGAUACAAUUGGGAACUGGGUAAAAGGUAAAGAGGGAGAUGGUAAAAAGGCCUGGCGGGAAAGAGGGCAGGGGCCCAUGGCGCCCGAUGUCCUGCCGACCCUGAACGCGUGCCGUCGUGCAUGCUCGAAGGGGUCGCCGCCGGAUGCCAAGUGUUGCAGCUCCUCGCAGGUAGCUACUUCGACGUUCGUAGGUAUCAGGAUAGAUCAUGAUGAGGGGGUUUCGUCGUCUCCUUGCCGUCCGUUAGGGAGGACGGUGGAUACCGCCGCUCUGACGAUGGCUUGUUAGAGAGGGGGAGCUUCACGCCUGUUUUGCCGCUUGCGUGGGACCCGAGGACGGGGCCGUCCCUUACUCCGCUCCGGUCGCCGCAGAUCAUGAGUACUUCGUGACGAAUGGGGGCUGGCCGCCAGUACUGUAGCUCGUACAGGAUGGUCGUGCGCGGGUACUUGCGCCGGGUCGCGUGGGGGGCGCGGUCGCCCUGCGCUCUGCCUUCUCUGCGGCGCAUUUAUGGUGAGGCCGACGGGGGGCCCCACCGGAUUUGUCCUGUCUAUGCGGAACGUAUCCGAGGAGGACUCUGACCCGUGGGCCUCAUCGUGUCCGACUCCCUCGCUCGGGGUCGGGCGAGGCGGAACCUUUGUGGUACGGGGUCGGGGGCUCCCGACCCUGGGGGCGCGGUCGGUCGAGGCGGAAACCCUGCAGAGGGAGGUCGGGCGCUCCCGGUCCUGACGCUGGGGUCGGUCGAGGCGGAGACUUGAUCACACUUUGGUGGGCCCGGGCCUUCAGGUUUGUUUCCUUAAGCUGCGUAUUAGGGGGCCGUUGAUAUUUCCCCCCAACACAAUUCGUCAUCGACUUGCUCCAAUGGCAUUCAAAGGUGCUUGCUUUGAUGUUGGAACACACAGCGACGACCAUG